Molecule: ribosomal RNA, 447 nt
Filed under: uncultured bacterium
Lineage: Bacteria
Description: partial 16S ribosomal RNA
Rfam family: Bacterial small subunit ribosomal RNA
Source: RNAcentral
AACGAACGCUGGCGGCAGGCUUAACACAUGCAAGUCGAACGCCCCGCAAGGGGAGUGGCGCACGGGUGAGUAACGCGUGGGAACAUGCCCUUCGGUUCGGAAUAACACAGGGAAACUUGUGCUAAUACCGGAUACGAUCUACGGAUGAAAGAUUUAUCGCCGAGGGAGUAGCCCGCGUAGGAUUAGCUAGUUGGUGAGGUAAUGGCUCACCAAGGCGACGAUCCUUAGCUGGUCUGAGAGGAUGAUCAGCCACACUGGGACUGAGACACGGCCCAGACUCCUACGGGAGGCAGCAGUGGGGAAUAUUGGACAAUGGGGGAAACCCUGAUCCAGCCAUGCCGCGUGGGUGAUGAAGGCCUUAGGGUUGUAAAGCUCUUUCGCCAGGGAAGAUAAUGACGGUACCUGGAAAAGAAGCCUCGGCUAACUCCGUGCCAGCCGCCGCAGUAA